RNAcentral lists this ribosomal RNA (253 nucleotides) under uncultured bacterium. RNAcentral describes it as "partial 16S ribosomal RNA". It matches the Rfam family "Bacterial small subunit ribosomal RNA", at positions 524 to 776 of the family's 1533-position model. The record is from RNAcentral.
UACGGAGGGUGCAAGCGUUAUCCGGAUUCACUGGGUUUAAAGGGUGCGUAGGUGGGUCUGUAAGUCAGUGGUGAAAUCUCCAAGCUUAACCUGGAAACUGCCGUUGAUACUAUAGAUCUUGAAUGCUGUGGAGGUGAGCGGAAUAUGUCAUGUAGCGGUGAAAUGCUUAGAUAUGACAUAGAACACCAAUUGCGAAGGCAGCUCACUACCCAGAUAUUGACACUGAGGCACGAAAGCGUGGGGAUCAAACAGG